This 301-nucleotide ribosomal RNA is filed under the name uncultured bacterium. RNAcentral's name for it is "partial 16S ribosomal RNA". It matches the Rfam family "Bacterial small subunit ribosomal RNA", at positions 509 to 808 of the family's 1533-position model. The record is from RNAcentral.
CAGCCGCCGCGGGAAUACGUAGGUGGCAAGCGUUGUCCGGAAUUAUUGGGCGUAAAGCGCGCGCAGGCGGAUAGGUCAGUCUGUCUUAAAAGUUCGGGGCUUAACCCCGUGAUGGGAUGGAAACUGCCAAUCUAGAGUAUCGGAGAGGAAAGUGGAAUUCCUAGUGUAGCGGUGAAAUGCGUAGAUAUUAGGAAGAACACCAGUGGCGAAGGCGACUUUCUGGACGAAAACUGACGCUGAGGCGCGAAAGCCAGGGGAGCGAACGGGAUUAGAUACCCGUGUAGUCCCUGUCUCUUAUACC